AUGUGUAUAAGAGACAGGCAUCGAUGAAGAACGCAGCGAAAUGCGAUAAGUAGUGUGAAUUGCAGAAUUCAGUGAAUCAUCGAAUCUUUGAACGCACAUUGCGCCCUAUGGUAUUCCGUAGGGCAUGCCUGUUCGAGCGUCAUUUACACCUUCAAGCCUUGCUUGGUGUUGGGUGACUGUGGCCCCUUUGGGGCCACUCGCCUUAAAGUCAUUGGCGGCCGGUUCGUUGGCUUUGUAGCGCAGCACAAUUGCGUCCUCGAAGCCGCUGGACCAGCUCCCAGAAGCUAAUUUUAAAUGUUUGACCUCGAAUCAGGUAGGGAUACCCGCUGAACUUAAGC
Molecule: unclassified non-coding RNA, 338 nt
Filed under: plant metagenome
Description: partial contains 5.8S ribosomal RNA, internal transcribed spacer 2, and large subunit ribosomal RNA
Rfam family: 5.8S ribosomal RNA (bases 15-142)
Source: RNAcentral